GUCGAGAAUCUUCCGCAAUGCGCGAAAGCGUGACGGAGCGACACCGCGUGAUGGAUGAAGUCCUUCGGGGCGUAAACAUCUUUUAUAAAGGAGGAAAUUUUUGACGUUACUUUAUGAAUAAGGGGCUCCCAAUCUCGUGCCAGCAGGAGCGGUAAUACGAGAGCCUCAAGCGUUAUCCGGAAUCAUUGGGCGUAAAGGGUGCGUAGGUGGUUUGAUUAGUCUCCCGUUAAAACUUCGAGCUUAACUCGAAAAGAGCGGGGGAAACGGUCAAACUAGAGUAUGUGAGAGGUGUGUGGAACUCAUGGUGUAGGGGUGAAAUCCGUUGAUAUCAUGGGGAACACCAAAAGCGAAGGCAGCACACUGGCACAUCACUGACACUGAGGCACGAAACCUAAGGUAGCGAAUGGGAUUAGAUACCCUAGUAGUCC
This 428-nucleotide ribosomal RNA is filed under the name uncultured bacterium. Its description in RNAcentral is "bacterial SSU rRNA". It matches the Rfam family "Bacterial small subunit ribosomal RNA", at positions 354 to 796 of the family's 1533-position model. The record is from RNAcentral.